This 369-nucleotide ribosomal RNA is filed under the name uncultured alpha proteobacterium SUR-FREE-27. RNAcentral's name for it is "bacterial SSU rRNA". It matches the Rfam family "Bacterial small subunit ribosomal RNA", at positions 8 to 404 of the family's 1533-position model. The record is from RNAcentral. Lineage: Bacteria; Pseudomonadati; Pseudomonadota; Alphaproteobacteria.
AGAGUUUGAUCAUGGCUCAAAACGUACGCUGGCGGCACGCCUAACACAUGCAAGUCGAACGAAGUAGCAAUACUUAGUGGCAGACGGGUGAGUAACAUGUAGGUAUCUGCCCUUUGGCCUGGAAUAACACGAGGAAACUUGUGCUAAUACUGGAUAAGUCUUUACGGAGAAAGCUUUAUGCACCAUUGGAUGAGCCUGCACUUGAUUAGUUUGUUGGUGGGGUAACGGCCUACCAAGACUGUGAUCAAUAGCUGAUUUGAGAAGAUGAUCAGCCACUUGGGACUGAGACACCGCCCAAACUCCUACGGGAAGGCAGCCUUGGGGAAUCUUGCCCAAUGGAAGAACUCUGAAUGCACCAAUCCCCCUUGA